This 536-nucleotide ribosomal RNA is filed under the name uncultured bacterium. RNAcentral describes it as "bacterial SSU rRNA". It matches the Rfam family "Bacterial small subunit ribosomal RNA", at positions 776 to 1308 of the family's 1533-position model. The record is from RNAcentral.
AAAUAGAUACCCCGGGUAGUCCACGCCGUAAACGAUCGAGUGCUAAGUGUUAGAGGGUUUCCGCCCUUUAGUGCUGCAGCUAACGCAUUAAGCACUCCGCCUGGGGAGUACGGCCGCAAGGCUGAAACUCAAAGGAAUUGACGGGGGCCCGCACAAGCGGUGGAGCAUGUGGUUUAAUUCGAAGCAACGCGAAGAACCUUACCAGGUCUUGACAUCCUCUGCCAACCCUAGAGAUAGGGUGUUCCCCUUCGGGGGACAGAGUGACAGGUGGUGCAUGGUUGUCGUCAGCUCGUGUCGUGAGAUGUUGGGUUAAGUCCCGCAACGAACGCAACCCUUGAUCUUAGUUGCCAGCAUUUAGUUGGGCACUCUAAGGUGACUGCCGGUGACAAACCGGAGGAAGGUGGGGAUGACGUCAAGUCAUCAUACCCCUUAUGACCUGGGCUACACACGUGCUACAAUGGAUGGUACAAAGAGCUGCGAACCCGCGAGGGUAAGCCAAUCUCAUAAAGCCAUUCUCAGUUCGGAUUGUAGGCUGC